Molecule: ribosomal RNA, 494 nt
Filed under: uncultured bacterium
Lineage: Bacteria
Description: partial 16S ribosomal RNA
Rfam family: Bacterial small subunit ribosomal RNA
Source: RNAcentral
AACUAACGCUGGCGGCGCGUCUUAAACAUGCAAGUUGAGCGAGAGGUGGAGCAAUCCACAGUAAAGCGGCGAACGGGUGAGUAACGCGUGGAUUAUCUACCUUCCAGAUGGGGACAACCCGGGGAAACUUUAGCUAAUACCGCAUAUUCUCGAGAGAGGAAAGCUGCCCGCAAGGGUGGCGCUAUUGGAGAGGCCUGCGUCCGAUUAGCUAGUUGGUGAGGUAAAGGCUCACCAAGGCGAUGAUCGGUAACUGGUCUUAGAGGACGACCAGUCACACUGGGACUGAGACACGGCCCAGACUCCUACGGGAGGCAGCAGUGGGGAAUUUUGGACAAUGGGCGCAAGCCUGAUCCAGCAAUGCCGCGUGCAGGAUGAAGGCCUUCGGGUUGUAAACUGCUUUUGUACGGAACGAAAAGCCCUGGGUUAAUACCCUGGGGUCAUGACGGUACCGUAAGAAUAAGCACCGGCUAACUACGUGCCAGCCGCCGCCGUAA